Molecule: ribosomal RNA, 2924 nt
Filed under: Klebsiella pneumoniae
Lineage: Bacteria; Pseudomonadati; Pseudomonadota; Gammaproteobacteria; Enterobacterales; Enterobacteriaceae
Description: bacterial LSU rRNA
Rfam family: Bacterial large subunit ribosomal RNA
Source: RNAcentral
GGGUUGUGAGGUUAAGCGACUAAGCGUACACGGUGGAUGCCCUGGCAGUCAGAGGCGAUGAAGGACGUGCUAAUCUGCGAAAAGCGUCGGUAAGGUGAUAUGAACCGUUAUAACCGGCGAUGUCCGAAUGGGGAAACCCAGUGCAAUUCGUUGCACUAUCGUUAACUGAAUACAUAGGUUAACGAGGCGAACCGGGGGAACUGAAACAUCUAAGUACCCCGAGGAAAAGAAAUCAACCGAGAUUCCCCCAGUAGCGGCGAGCGAACGGGGAGCAGCCCAGAGUCUGAAUCAGCUUGUGUGUUAGUGGAACGGUCUGGAAAGUCCGACGGUACAGGGUGAUAGUCCCGUACACCAAAAUGCACAGGCUGUGAACUCGAAGAGUAGGGCGGGACACGUGGUAUCCUGUCUGAAUAUGGGGGGACCAUCCUCCAAGGCUAAAUACUCCUGACUGACCGAUAGUGAACCAGUACCGUGAGGGAAAGGCGAAAAGAACCCCGGCGAGGGGAGUGAAAAAGAACCUGAAACCGUGUACGUACAAGCAGUGGGAGCACCUUCGGGUGUGACUGCGUACCUUUUGUAUAAUGGGUCAGCGACUUAUAUUCUGUAGCAAGGUUAACCGUAUAGGGGAGCCGCAGGGAAACCGAGUCUUAACUGGGCGUUAAGUUGCAGGGUAUAGACCCGAAACCCGGUGAUCUAGCCAUGGGCAGGUUGAAGGUUGGGUAACACUAACUGGAGGACCGAACCGACUAAUGUUGAAAAAUUAGCGGAUGACUUGUGGCUGGGGGUGAAAGGCCAAUCAAACCGGGAGAUAGCUGGUUCUCCCCGAAAGCUAUUUAGGUAGCGCCUCGUGAACUCAUCUUCGGGGGUAGAGCACUGUUUCGGCUAGGGGGUCAUCCCGACUUACCAACCCGAUGCAAACUACGAAUACCGAAGAAUGUUAUCACGGGAGACACACGGCGGGUGCUAACGUCCGUCGUGAAGAGGGAAACAACCCAGACCGCCAGCUAAGGUCCCAAAGUCAUGGUUAAGUGGGAAACGAUGUGGGAAGGCACAGACAGCCAGGAUGUUGGCUUAGAAGCAGCCAUCAUUUAAAGAAAGCGUAAUAGCUCACUGGUCGAGUCGGCCUGCGCGGAAGAUGUAACGGGGCUAAACCAUGCACCGAAGCUGCGGCAGCGACGCUUAUGCGUUGUUGGGUAGGGGAGCGUUCUGUAAGCCUGCGAAGGUGGCCUGUGAGGGCUGCUGGAGGUAUCAGAAGUGCGAAUGCUGACAUAAGUAACGAUAAAGCGGGUGAAAAGCCCGCUCGCCGGAAGACCAAGGGUUCCUGUCCAACGUUAAUCGGGGCAGGGUGAGUCGACCCCUAAGGCGAGGCCGAAAGGCGUAGUCGAUGGGAAACAGGUUAAUAUUCCUGUACUUGGUGUUACUGCGAAGGGGGGACGGAGAAGGCUAUGUUAGCCGGGCGACGGUUGUCCCGGUUUAAGCAUGUAGGCUGGUUAUCCAGGCAAAUCCGGAUAAUCAAGGCUGAGGUGUGAUGACGAGGCACUACGGUGCUGAAGUAACAAAUGCCCUGCUUCCAGGAAAAGCCUCUAAGCAUCAGGUAACAUCAAAUCGUACCCCAAACCGACACAGGUGGUCAGGUAGAGAAUACCAAGGCGCUUGAGAGAACUCGGGUGAAGGAACUAGGCAAAAUGGUGCCGUAACUUCGGGAGAAGGCACGCUGGUGUGUAGGUGAAGUCCCUGCGGAUGGAGCUGAGACCAGUCGAAGAUACCAGCUGGCUGCAACUGUUUAUUAAAAACACAGCACUGUGCAAACACGAAAGUGGACGUAUACGGUGUGACGCCUGCCCGGUGCCGGAAGGUUAAUUGAUGGGGUUAUCCGUAAGGAGAAGCUCUUGAUCGAAGCCCCGGUAAACGGCGGCCGUAACUAUAACGGUCCUAAGGUAGCGAAAUUCCUUGUCGGGUAAGUUCCGACCUGCACGAAUGGCGUAAUGAUGGCCAGGCUGUCUCCACCCGAGACUCAGUGAAAUUGAACUCGCUGUGAAGAUGCAGUGUACCCGCGGCAAGACGGAAAGACCCCGUGAACCUUUACUAUAGCUUGACACUGAACAUUGAGCCUUGAUGUGUAGGAUAGGUGGGAGGCUUUGAAGCGUGGACGCCAGUCUGCGUGGAGCCAACCUUGAAAUACCACCCUUUAAUGUUUGAUGUUCUAACGUUGGCCCCUUACCGGGGUUGCGGACAGUGUCUGGUGGGUAGUUUGACUGGGGCGGUCUCCUCCCAAAGAGUAACGGAGGAGCACGAAGGUUAGCUAAUCCUGGUCGGACAUCAGGAGGUUAGUGCAAUGGCAUAAGCUAGCUUGACUGCGAGCGUGACGGCGCGAGCAGGUGCGAAAGCAGGUCAUAGUGAUCCGGUGGUUCUGAAUGGAAGGGCCAUCGCUCAACGGAUAAAAGGUACUCCGGGGAUAACAGGCUGAUACCGCCCAAGAGUUCAUAUCGACGGCGGUGUUUGGCACCUCGAUGUCGGCUCAUCACAUCCUGGGGCUGAAGUAGGUCCCAAGGGUAUGGCUGUUCGCCAUUUAAAGUGGUACGCGAGCUGGGUUUAGAACGUCGUGAGACAGUUCGGUCCCUAUCUGCCGUGGGCGCUGGAGAAUUGAGGGGGGCUGCUCCUAGUACGAGAGGACCGGAGUGGACGCAUCACUGGUGUUCGGGUUGUCAUGCCAAUGGCAUUGCCCGGUAGCUAAAUGCGGAAGAGAUAAGUGCUGAAAGCAUCUAAGCACGAAACUUGCCCCGAGAUGAGUUCUCCCUGAGACUUUAAGUCUCCUGAAGGAACGUUGAAGACGACGACGUUGAUAGGCCGGGUGUGUAAGCGCAGCGAUGCGUUGAGCUAACCGGUACUAAUGAACCGUGAGGCUUAACCUUACAACGCCGAAG